This 1190-nucleotide long non-coding RNA is filed under the name Macaca fascicularis (crab-eating macaque). Its description in RNAcentral is "lncRNA (ENSMFAG00000053701.1)". The record is from RNAcentral. Lineage: Eukaryota; Metazoa; Chordata; Mammalia; Primates; Cercopithecidae.
AGAACUGGAUAUUUACAUGCAGAAGAAUGAAACUAGACCCAUAUCUUUCACCAUAUACAAAAAUCAAAUCAAAUGGAUUAGACUUAAAAUCUCAGACCCCAAAUUAUGAAACUACUAUAAGAAAACAUUGGAUAAACUCUCCAGGACAUUGGUCUGGGCAAAAAUUUCAGCAUAGGCAACUAAAGCAAAAAUGGAUAAAUGGGAUCACACCAAGUUAAAAAGCUGCACAGCAAAGGAAACAAUCAACAAAGUGAAGAGACAACCCACAGAAUGAGAGAAAAUAUUUGUGAACUACCCAUAUGACAAGGGAUUAACAAACGGAAUAUAUAAGGAACUCAACUUAUAGGCAAAAAUCUAAUAAUCUGAUUUAAAAAUGAGCUAAAUAUCUGAAUAGACAUUUCUCAAAAGAAGACACACAGAUGUCAAACAGGCAUAUAAAAAGGUGGUCAACAUCACUGAUCUUCAGAAAAAUGCAGAUCAAACUGCAGUGAGAUAUCAUCUCACCCCAGUUAAAAUGGCUUUUAUUCAAAAGGCAGGCAAUAACAAAUGCUGAUGAGGAUAUGGAGAAAAGAGAACCCUCAUACACUGUUGGUGGGAAUGCAAAUUAGUACAAACACUAUGGAGAAUAGUUUGGAGGUUCCUCAAAAAACUAAAAAUAGAGUUAUCAUAUGAUCCAUCAAUCCCACUGCUGGGUAUGUAUCCAAAAGAAAGGGGAAUCCGUAUUUCAAAGAGAUAUGAGCACUCCCAUGUUUGUUGCAGCAGUGUUUACAAUAGCCAAGAUUUAGAGGCAACCUAAGUGUCCAUCAACAGAUAAAUCGAUAAAGAAAAUGUGGUACAUAUACACAAUGGAGUACUAUUUAGCCAUUGAAAAAAAUGACAUUCUAUCAUUUGCAACAACAUGGAUAGAACUGCAGGUAAUUAUGCUAAGUGAAAUAAGCCAGGCACAGAAAGACAAACAUAACAUUAAAUUGUUAAAUAAUGAUUUAAUUGCACACUUAAAAUGACUAAAAGAGUAUAAUUGUAUUAUUUGUAACACAAAGGUUAAAUGCCUGCGGAGAUGGAUACCGCAGUUUGCAUGAUGUAAUUGCUACACACUGCAUGCCUGUAUCAAAACAUCUCAUGUACUCCAUAUGUACAUAUGUACAUAUGCCUAGUAUGUACUGACAACAAUUAAACGUUAAAAAAAAAAA